Non-coding RNA from Miniopterus natalensis, 955 nucleotides. Lineage: Eukaryota; Metazoa; Chordata; Mammalia; Chiroptera; Miniopteridae. The record is from RefSeq and is a predicted model, not a curated record.
UCCGCUGGCGGAGGCAAGGUUCUCUCCCGCCCCUCCUCCUCCCUUUCCCAUCCCUCCGAGUGGAGCUGCACAUGCGGCUUCUCACUGCUCGGUCCCGCCCAGCUUCGGUCGCGCAGGAACGGGUCCCUGCAGCCCCCAGCCCAUGGCAGGACAGUAGCCGCCUGUCAGGGGUCCUGAGCGGCUGAGGCAGACGCGGCGUCUCUCGGGCCUCAGAGAGUGGGAGUCUCCGGAGGCCAUGGGCUACCCCAAGGUAGAGCGCAAGGAGCCCCUGCCUGCGGCAGCUCCGAGGGAGCGGGGGAGCCAGGGCUGCGGCUGUCGCGCGGCCCCUGCCCGGGCAGGCGAAGGAAACAGCUGCCGGCUCUUCCUAGGCUUCUUUGGCCUCUCGCUGGCCCUCCACCUGCUGACAUUGUGCUGCUACCUAGAGUUGCGCUCCGAGUUGCGGCGGGAACGGGGAGCCGAGACCCGCCUCGGCGGCCCCGGCACCCCUGGCACCUCUGGCACCCUGAGCAGCCCCGUUGACCUCGACCCUGACGGUCCCAUCUCCCGCCACUUUGGGCUGCCGUCACUUCAGCAGCCGCCGCUAGAACCCGGAGAAACCACUCUCCCACCAGACUCCCAGGACGGGCACCAGGUGAGUCACUUGGCUGGGGCGGCGGCGGCAGAGGCGGUAGGACAGGGGCCCUCCCCAACCGGGCCCGGGGGCGACUCAGCCACUUCGAGCCACGUUGGAGGGCAGGACCCGGGAGGGGGCAGGCGAGCCCGACGGAGAGAGGUUGCCCUGAGGCAGGUUGUACUCGGUCCCGGCCCAACUCACCCAGACUCCCUCAGGACCCCAGACUUGGGAGCUCUGGCCCGCGUCCACCGCCCCCGGCUACGGCUGCCUCUGGGAAAGUUGGCUACGCUCCCGGCUGGGCCGCGGCGCCGAGGUGCGGGCGCUGCCCCUCUGGCGGACUAA